RNAcentral lists this ribosomal RNA (2787 nucleotides) under Escherichia coli. Its description in RNAcentral is "bacterial LSU rRNA". It matches the Rfam family "Bacterial large subunit ribosomal RNA". The record is from RNAcentral. Lineage: Bacteria; Pseudomonadati; Pseudomonadota; Gammaproteobacteria; Enterobacterales; Enterobacteriaceae.
AGCGUACACGGUGGAUGCCCUGGCAGUCAGAGGCGAUGAAGGACGUGCUAAUCUGCGAUAAGCGUCGGUAAGGUGAUAUGAACCGUUAUAACCGGCGAUUUCCGAAUGGGGAAACCCAGUGUGUUUCGACACACUAUCAUUAACUGAAUCCAUAGGUUAAUGAGGCGAACCGGGGGAACUGAAACAUCUAAGUACCCCGAGGAAAAGAAAUCAACCGAGAUUCCCCCAGUAGCGGCGAGCGAACGGGGAGCAGCCCAGAGCCUGAAUCAGUGUGUGUGUUAGUGGAAGCGUCUGGAAAGGCGCGCGAUACAGGGUGACAGCCCCGUACACAAAAAUGCACAUGCUGUGAGCUCGAUGAGUAGGGCGGGACACGUGGUAUCCUGUCUGAAUAUGGGGGGACCAUCCUCCAAGGCUAAAUACUCCUGACUGACCGAUAGUGAACCAGUACCGUGAGGGAAAGGCGAAAAGAACCCCGGCGAGGGGAGUGAAAAAGAACCUGAAACCGUGUACGUACAAGCAGUGGGAGCCUCUUUUAUGGGGUGACUGCGUACCUUUUGUAUAAUGGGUCAGCGACUUAUAUUCUGUAGCAAGGUUAACCGAAUAGGGGAGCCGAAGGGAAACCGAGUCUUAACUGGGCGUUAAGUUGCAGGGUAUAGACCCGAAACCCGGUGAUCUAGCCAUGGGCAGGUUGAAGGUUGGGUAACACUAACUGGAGGACCGAACCGACUAAUGUUGAAAAAUUAGCGGAUGACUUGUGGCUGGGGGUGAAAGGCCAAUCAAACCGGGAGAUAGCUGGUUCUCCCCGAAAGCUAUUUAGGUAGCGCCUCGUGAAUUCAUCUCCGGGGGUAGAGCACUGUUUCGGCAAGGGGGUCAUCCCGACUUACCAACCCGAUGCAAACUGCGAAUACCGGAGAAUGUUAUCACGGGAGACACACGGCGGGUGCUAACGUCCGUCGUGAAGAGGGAAACAACCCAGACCGCCAGCUAAGGUCCCAAAGUCAUGGUUAAGUGGGAAACGAUGUGGGAAGGCCCAGACAGCCAGGAUGUUGGCUUAGAAGCAGCCAUCAUUUAAAGAAAGCGUAAUAGCUCACUGGUCGAGUCGGCCUGCGCGGAAGAUGUAACGGGGCUAAACCAUGCACCGAAGCUGCGGCAGCGACGCUGAUGCGUUGUUGGGUAGGGGAGCGUUCUGUAAGCCUGCGAAGGUGUGCUGUGAGGCAUGCUGGAGGUAUCAGAAGUGCGAAUGCUGACAUAAGUAACGAUAAAGCGGGUGAAAAGCCCGCUCGCCGGAAGACCAAGGGUUCCUGUCCAACGUUAAUCGGGGCAGGGUGAGUCGACCCCUAAGGCGAGGCCGAAAGGCGUAGUCGAUGGGAAACAGGUUAAUAUUCCUGUACUUGGUGUUACUGCGAAGGGGGGACGGAGAAGGCUAUGUUGGCCGGGCGACGGUUGUCCCGGUUUAAGCGUGUAGGCUGGUUUUCCAGGCAAAUCCGGAAAAUCAAGGCUGAGGCGUGAUGACGAGGCACUACGGUGCUGAAGCAACAAAUGCCCUGCUUCCAGGAAAAGCCUCUAAGCAUCAGGUAACAUCAAAUCGUACCCCAAACCGACACAGGUGGUCAGGUAGAGAAUACCAAGGCGCUUGAGAGAACUCGGGUGAAGGAACUAGGCAAAAUGGUGCCGUAACUUCGGGAGAAGGCACGCUGAUAUGUAGGUGAAGUCCCUCGCGGAUGGAGCUGAAAUCAGUCGAAGAUACCAGCUGGCUGCAACUGUUUAUUAAAAACACAGCACUGUGCAAACACGAAAGUGGACGUAUACGGUGUGACGCCUGCCCGGUGCCGGAAGGUUAAUUGAUGGGGUCAGCGCAAGCGAAGCUCUUGAUCGAAGCCCCGGUAAACGGCGGCCGUAACUAUAACGGUCCUAAGGUAGCGAAAUUCCUUGUCGGGUAAGUUCCGACCUGCACGAAUGGCGUAAUGAUGGCCAGGCUGUCUCCACCCGAGACUCAGUGAAAUUGAACUCGCUGUGAAGAUGCAGUGUACCCGCGGCAAGACGGAAAGACCCCGUGAACCUUUACUAUAGCUUGACACUGAACAUUGAGCCUUGAUGUGUAGGAUAGGUGGGAGGCUUUGAAGUGUGGACGCCAGUCUGCAUGGAGCCGACCUUGAAAUACCACCCUUUAAUGUUUGAUGUUCUAACGUGGACCCGUAAUCCGGGUUGCGGACAGUGUCUGGUGGGUAGUUUGACUGGGGCGGUCUCCUCCUAAAGAGUAACGGAGGAGCACGAAGGUUGGCUAAUCCUGGUCGGACAUCAGGAGGUUAGUGCAAUGGCAUAAGCCAGCUUGACUGCGAGCGUGACGGCGCGAGCAGGUGCGAAAGCAGGUCAUAGUGAUCCGGUGGUUCUGAAUGGAAGGGCCAUCGCUCAACGGAUAAAAGGUACUCCGGGGAUAACAGGCUGAUACCGCCCAAGAGUUCAUAUCGACGGCGGUGUUUGGCACCUCGAUGUCGGCUCAUCACAUCCUGGGGCUGAAGUAGGUCCCAAGGGUAUGGCUGUUCGCCAUUUAAAGUGGUACGCGAGCUGGGUUUAGAACGUCGUGAGACAGUUCGGUCCCUAUCUGCCGUGGGCGCUGGAGAACUGAGGGGGGCUGCUCCUAGUACGAGAGGACCGGAGUGGACGCAUCACUGGUGUUCGGGUUGUCAUGCCAAUGGCACUGCCCGGUAGCUAAAUGCGGAAGAGAUAAGUGCUGAAAGCAUCUAAGCACGAAACUUGCCCCGAGAUGAGUUCUCCCUGACUCCUUGA